Molecule: ribosomal RNA, 253 nt
Filed under: uncultured bacterium
Lineage: Bacteria
Description: partial 16S ribosomal RNA
Rfam family: Bacterial small subunit ribosomal RNA
Source: RNAcentral
UACAGAGGGGGCAAGCGUUGUUCGGAAUUACUUGGCGUAAAGGGCGCGUAGGCGGCCCGCUAAGUCGAACGUGAAAUCCCCGAGCUCAACUCGGGAACUGCGUCCGAUACUGGCGGGCUUGAAUCCGGGAGAGGGAUGCGGAAUUCCAGGUGUAGCGGUGUAAUGCGUAGAUAUCUGGAGGAACACCGGUGGCGAAGGCGGCAUCCUGGACCGGCAUUGACGCUGAGGCGCGAAAGCUAGGGGAGCAAACGGG